CCCUCUAGAGAUAGAGUUUUCCCCUUCGGGGGACAGAGUGACAGGUGGUGCAUGGUUGUCGUCAGCUCGUGUCGUGAGAUGUUGGGUUAAGUCCCGCAACGAGCGCAACCCUUAAGCUUAGUUGCCAUCAUUAAGUUGGGCACUCUAAGUUGACUGCCGGUGACAAACCGGAGGAAGGUGGGGAUGACGUCAAAUCAUCAUGCCCCUUAUGAUUUGGGCUACACACGUGCUACAAUGGACAAUACAAAGGGUAGCGAAACCGCGAGGUCAAGCAAAUCCCAUAAAGUUGUUCUCAGUUCGGAUUGUAGUCUGCAACUCGACUAUAUGAAGCUGGAAUCGCUAGUAAUCGUAGAUCAGCAUGCUACGGUGAAUACGUUCCCGGGUCUUGUACACACCGCCCGUCACACCACGAGAGUUUGUAACACCCGAAGCCGGUGGAGUAACCAUUUGGAGCUAGCCGUCGAAGGUGGGACAAAUGAUUGGGGUGAAGUCGUAACAAGGUAGCCGUAUCGGAAGGUGCGGCUGGAUCACCUCCUUU
This 538-nucleotide ribosomal RNA is filed under the name Staphylococcus epidermidis. RNAcentral's name for it is "bacterial SSU rRNA". It matches the Rfam family "Bacterial small subunit ribosomal RNA", at positions 996 to 1533 of the family's 1533-position model. The record is from RNAcentral. Lineage: Bacteria; Bacillati; Bacillota; Bacilli; Caryophanales; Staphylococcaceae.